RNAcentral lists this long non-coding RNA (951 nucleotides) under Ananas comosus (pineapple). Its description in RNAcentral is "long non-coding RNA (ACOM_LNC031755)". The record is from RNAcentral. Lineage: Eukaryota; Viridiplantae; Streptophyta; Magnoliopsida; Poales; Bromeliaceae.
AAUUAUUAAAUUAAGAUUCUAAUUUUCUAACAUUCUUUCAAUUUUUCACUCAAUAGUAGGGAUAACAAUCUAACUUGCUAUUCACGAGUCAACCCGAAUUUGGCUCAUUAAUAAACAAGCCGAACAUCGGCUGGACUUCUAAGCUCGAUAUUUUAAUGAGCCAGCUCGUAUUUGGCUUGUUUAUUGAACAAGUCAAGCAAGAGCAUGCCCUAGCUCGCUCGUGUUUGGCUCGUUAAGAGUCCUCACAGAUAUUAUUGCUCAUAAAAAUAUAGGGCGUAUUUGAUUUGCCUAUUUUUCACUCAGGAAUCAGAAUCAGAAUGUACGAGUCCGUUUGUAGGUGUUUAGUAUGCAGGAGUACCGUUCCAAUUCCGAUUUUCGGAUGGAAUGGAAAUUUCCCAAUCAUUUACGAGGCCGGUUUGAAAGUUGAAUCUGGACGGAAUUGAUGUUUGUUCGGAUUAAAUUUAACUUUUUAACCUUAUUUUUAAUUAAAUAUAAGUUUAAAUUUAGAAAUUAAAUUUAUAAUUUUAAAUUUUAAUUUGAACUUGAAUUAAAAACUAAAAUUCAAUCAAGCAUUUUAAAUCUAAUUUACGAAUUUCAAUUUAAAUUAAAAUUCAAUUUCAAGUUUAAAAUGAUAUUUAAAUUUAUUUAAAAUUUAAAAUAAAUUUUACGGAUUCAAAUUGAAAUUUAAAUUGUAUUGAAUUUGAAUAAACUGGAAUUUAGUUUUAUAUUUUGAAAUAUCCACUCGAUUUCAAAUUUUAAUUUUUUUCAAAAAAAUAUAUUUAAAAUUUUGACAUCAUUUCAAAAUUUUGAUGCAAAUUUUUAAUAUUUAAUUUUCAGUUUGAAUUUAAAUUAUAAAAUUCUAUAUUUUGAGUUGCGAACUAAAUUUUAAAUUAUUUUUAUAUUUUAAGGUUAAUUUUAUUUUAAUUAUUUUGUGAAUUUUUAUUUGGAUUG